GAGCGGGCGUAGCAAUACGUCAGCGGCAGACGGGUGAGUAACGCGUGGGAACGUACCUUUUGGUUCGGAACAACCCAGGGAAACUUGGGCUAAUACCGGAUAAGCCCUCACGGGGUAAAGAUUUAUCGCCGAAAGAUCGGCCCGCGUCUGAUUAGCUAGUUGGUGAGGUAAUGGCCCACCAAGGCGACGAUCAGUAGCUGGUCUGAGAGGAUGAUCAGCCACAUUGGGACUGAGACACGGCCCAAACUCCUACGGGAGGCAGCAGUGGGGAAUAUUGGACAAUGGGCGCAAGCCUGAUCCAGCCAUGCCGCGUGAGUGAUGAAGGCCCUAGGGUUGUAAAGCUCUUUUGUGCGGGAAGAUAAUGACGGUACCGCAAGAAUAAGCCCCGGCUAACUUCGUGCCAGCAGCCGCGGUAAU
Molecule: ribosomal RNA, 417 nt
Filed under: uncultured bacterium
Lineage: Bacteria
Description: bacterial SSU rRNA
Rfam family: Bacterial small subunit ribosomal RNA
Source: RNAcentral